Molecule: RNA transcript, 2113 nt
Organism: Helianthus annuus (common sunflower)
Lineage: Eukaryota; Viridiplantae; Streptophyta; Magnoliopsida; Asterales; Asteraceae
Exons: 5
Source: RefSeq, a predicted model, not a curated record
AACCCUUUACCCAAAAACAAAAAAAACAAAAAAAAAAUCCUAUUUUUAGCAUUCUUGGAGAACCAUUCGAGCAGUCAAUAGAUUCUCCAUCAAGCCUCAUCCACUCCCCUGGUUGUUCAGUCCCCAAUUGUGAUCCUUGGUAAACUCUUCACCUCCUUAAUCGUUCCUUCUUAGAUUAGAAAAACUAGGGUUCAUGCGUGUUUGUACAAUGACAGCGGAAAACUCAACCGCUGCCAGAACCAAUCCGCUCCACGUUCUGCUUCUACACUCCCUUAUAUUCCACUGUGUAAUCCCCAUCUCCUCUUUAAUUCUAAUCGCCUUGACUUAGAUAACCCUAACCAUCACCACCUAUGAUUGUACGGCAAUCAUCGCACAACCACCACCACAACGACAAGAAUGGAUCGACAACCGUCACACCACCACUCCCUCAACAGCCGCAUCAGCGUCGAACUUCCGACACUCUAUUGUAGUCUCAUAUCUCUCUGAGAUCAUAUUCAAUUGGAAGGUUCUAAUCGGGGAUUGUUCUCGGAUGUAAUCGUGAAGGCUGUAGGCGAUACGUAUCAUCUUCACCGUUUGAUUCUCUCUCGUAACUCACAUUUUAGUGUGUUUGUCCAGAGUUAUUUUCCGAAGAUCAUUGGUAUUAUCGUACUAAAAUCGAGAUUUGUGGAAGUUAUUUUGUGGUUUCUCAUGGCUGGAAUGUCUGGUAAUUUCGCAUGUCUUGCUAAUACCUCUAUUUAUUGUUCUUGAGAAUAAUUACUAUUUAGAUUUGAUUCACUCGAUGUGGUUUAGUUUUGUUAUGAAAGUUUCUGAAACUAGCAAUUGAGUGAUUUGCUAGUAGGAAUUAUGGUUUAUGUUUGCUUAAAGUUAACGAUUGACUUGAUUGGAGCAUUUGUUAUGGCUCUGUGAAGAAUUUAGCUGAUACAAAGCUUUGAUUCGGAUAGUAUGUUGCACCUACCGAUGACGAUUAAAACUAUUUAAAGGAAAUUGUUGAUGGCAAUGGGAAAGCUGCAAAAGGUGGAAGAAGAGGACAAAAAAUGGAGGAUCGAAUGGUUCUGUUAUGGUGGUGUUGGUCUUAAAGAGCAAUCAAAAGAAAAUGGUAUUUUAGCAAUUUCAGCGGGAUACAAAAGCUUGGAAAGGGAAAAUAAAUUAGUCGGCUUUUUUCUGGUAUUAUAGAAGUAACUAGAGAUAUCAGUUAACCUGUAUUUUGUGCUUUUUAGGGUUUAAAUUGAUGUUUUGCACUACAUUUUGGUCAUUAGUAAUAAACUGCUUACUUGACCCUUAGUUUGAGCAUAGAGUUCCUCAUCCUUGCAUAAAACUGAAACAUUGUCAUGAAUGAGAGUUGUAUACACUUGUAGCUUAGAGGAGCUUCUUUUGGUUAUACUUAUUGGUUAUAUUAUUGUUUUAAGGUUGUAUUAUUGGUUCUUAAAUUGUGAUGUUUAAUAGGAGUAAACACUAAACAACUCUGAUGUGGGUUAUUGUAGGCAACAUCUUGCUGAGCUACAAUUGUAAUAAAUUAGUUGUUUUGACUUGAAAAAUCAAUUCCAUAUUUCAAUUCAUGUGGGUUUAGUCUAGCUAUUUCAAAAGAUGUGAUUUUGGUUUUCUAAACAUUGACGUAACCCGUCCACCGGAUAGGUAUUAAACUAGUUAAUCAGGUUGUGAAUUAUUGUGUUUUUUAGUUUGAUUUAAUUGCGAAAUUGGUUUAUAAUCUUGGAACGAUUUUUAUAAGCUAUUAUUUAAAUAUUUUAUUAUUUAUGCAUCGAGUACAUGUAAUUAAAUUUUGAUGUAAUUUCAACUGUAUCGCAUUGAGUAUUUCAUUAUUUAACUGUUUUAUGGGCUUGAUUAUAGGUUCAGUCUUAUUGUUAUCGUUGCAUAUGUUUUUGUAUUUGGUCUUGGUUUAUUUGGAUGGGGUCUUCUAAGCUUGGCAACUGUGUGGAGAUAGGCCACAAUGAACAUCAUAUUGGUUCUUCUAAUCUUUAGAUUGUUAAUUAUUGCCUGGUCGAUUACUUAUGCCGAUUUCAGUUGUGGCUUCUCCGCUUUGUAAGGUAAACAACUGGCUUCUCUAGAAGUUGUAACUAUAAUAAUCAAUUUUGAAAUAUUCAUUCUACUUCAGUUA